AUUGAACGCUGGCGGCAGGCCUAACACAUGCAAGUCGAACGGUAACAGGAAGCAGCUUGCUGCUUUGCUGACGAGUGGCGGACGGGUGAGUAAUGUCUGGGAAACUGCCUGAUGGAGGGGGAUAACUACUGGAAACGGUAGCUAAUACCGCAUAACGUCGCAAGACCAAAGAGGGGGACCUUCGGGCCUCUUGCCAUCGGAUGUGCCCAGAUGGGAUUAGCUAGUAGGUGGGGUAACGGCUCACCUAGGCGACGAUCCGUAGCUGGUCUGAGAGGAUGACCAGCCACACUGGAACUGAGACAGGGUCCAGACUCCUACGGGAGGCAGCAGUGGGGAAUAUUGCACAAUGGGCGCAAGCCUGAUGCAGCCAUGCCGCGUGUAUGAAGAAGGCCUUCGGGUUGUAAAGUACUUUCAGCGGGGAGGAAGGGAGUAAAGUUAAUACCUUUGCUCAUUGACGUUACCCGCAGAAGAAGCACCGGCUAACUCCGUG
RNAcentral lists this ribosomal RNA (490 nucleotides) under uncultured bacterium. RNAcentral describes it as "partial 16S ribosomal RNA". It matches the Rfam family "Bacterial small subunit ribosomal RNA", at positions 30 to 507 of the family's 1533-position model. The record is from RNAcentral.